CUCAGCUUCUAAUUCCCAGUAGGCGGAGCAGAGGACUUCUGUUCCGUCAGCCUUAGGCCAGUUGGUUUCACUUGAGAGACGUUGGUGGCUCCCUUGUGGCUGAGAGAAAGGCACUGAAAAUAACUCCGUCUUUCUUAAGAUGUCUGAAAGCGACAGCUCUGCACCUGUCAUACAAGUUAAAUUCAUCCCAGGCAGUACUUGAACUUCCAUCUUCCCUCCUGAUCCCCCAAAUUUUAAGGUGCUAUCAGGAAACAAAAUAGGCUGAGGAAGCAGUAGUUGUCCUGGUGGCGGCUGUGGUGCUGAUGAAGGAGGUGGUGGAAUGCAUAGGUGCCCAUGCUUUUUGUCACAAUGAAGAUCAAAAACCUUCCUUUUGAUGAGAAGAAAAAGCCUCAUUCUGAUUCAACAGCAGAGAUCAAAGAAAAGACUUCUGUUUGCUGGCCAUCAGAUAUAUGUUAUCUGUGUUUAAAGAAUUGAAAAACACACAUCAAAGGAACAUUCUCUUGGAAAGAGAGAAGUUUCAGAGGGAUGCUGGUGAUUUGGUGAGAAAGAAGCAACUAUUUCUGUGAUUUAAUUUCAACAUGAGUAUUGAAGAGGCUACCCUUUAUCCUUUUACUACUGUUGAUAACUCCAUGCUUCCAAGAACUAAUGGGUUGAAGAACUUAGCACUUGUGAUGGAUUAGUCAAGCAAAAAUUAUGAAGUUUUCAGUUACGGAAGCAUUGAGAAUUCCCUGUGGCUGAAUAAGGGCAAAUCUUUAAGGCAAGUUGAAGAUCCAGGCUGCCCAUGUGGACAUCAAUACUCCCACAGAGCACUCGCCAUGAAGAAAAGUGUGGGCUUGCUGUCUUUUCAUCAAAACUCCUAGAAUUUGGCUGACUGCCUGGUUUAUCCCAGGACAUUAGUCAGCCCACAAAUCCCACAUUUGUUUAUUCAGUGCAGAGCAAGUGAAUGCUGCCAUUCUCUCAUCUCCUUUGUUGGCAACACUUUGUUAACCUGAAUUGAGUUCUGCAACACAAAAUGAAGUGACUAAUCUUUUGAGGGGUUCCCCCUCCCAGGUUCUUGUAUGAGCAAUUAAAUCUAUAUACCGCAAAGCCCGAUGCUGUCAUUUUUUCUCAUGCUGCCUCUUUAUUCUGAUGAUUUCACAUUGUAGUUAAUGAAACUAAUACCUUCUAGAGUGUGGUUGAACUGGCACCACCAUUAAGAAAAGGGGUUUCCAAACUUUUUAGUUUUGUGAGAAAAUGUUAGAGGAAGAGGGAAGUUAGGUUGAUUAUUUAUACUUAUGUACUCUUCCAUGAAUUUGCAGUAAUUAUCACCGUAUACUCUCAAAAGUUUUCUAGCUCUGAGUAUGUGAGUCUCAAAGUACAAGCAGUAGGAAUCUUAGCACAAAACAACCAGUUUGGACUAUCACACAGUUAAUAUAGGAUAGAUCUAGAGUAUGGACCUAAACAGACUAUGUAUUCUUUAUCACUAAGUUAUUUAUCUAUCUACAAGUGUCUAAAAAGACCUGGACUUUUUAGCGAAAGUUUGAGAAUCUAGGUUUCUAAGUUUCUAUUGACCAUGAAAGAGUGAAUAGUUUUAGAAGACAGUUGGGGGCAACAUAGUACAAGACAGAAGAGGGGCUGAAGAAAAUCAUAAAGUUGAAUAUGUUUGCCAUAGGCCCCAGCUGUUUUUCAGCAUGUUUCACCUAGCAGCUUGGCAAAUAAUUCUCAUUGAUCAUUAGGUCUAUGAGAUUCAUGGAAAUUCUAUGUGAUUCAUAAAGUUUUGGCCCUGACUAUGUGUACCGUUGAUAACUUGUUUUUCUCUCUCCUUCUUCCCUUUUCCUCCAACUUGUAUCCAGAGCUACCUUCCAGAUUUUCUAUCACUGUCUUUCUUUCCAGUGUAAAAGAAUGCAAGUAUGUAUCACAUAGAAUUAUAAAAAUAUCAAAUGAUAGGACUGAAAAUCAAAUCAACAUCUUUCCUAUGUGAAAACCUGUGUUCUUUCUGCUCUACUUCCUGAAAUUUAAUUUAAAUUUAAAUUUAAUUUUAUUUGUUGUUAUUGCUGUUUUUUUCUUGAAGCAGAGGCUCACUCUGUCUCAGCUCACUGCAACCUCUGCCUCUCACGUUCAAGCGAUUCUCCUGCCUCAAUCUUCCAAGGAGCUGGGAUUACCGGUACCUGCCAUCAUGUCUGGCUAAUUUUUGUAUUUUUAGUAGAGAAAGGGUUUCACCAUGUUGGUCAGGCUGGUCUUGAACUCCUCACCUCAAGUGAUCUGCCUGCCUCAGCCUCCCAAAGUGCUGAGAUUACAGGCGUGAGCCACCUUGUGUGGCCUGCCUGACUUUUAAAAAUGAUUAAACUCACAUUUAUUAUUUAUCAGAUGCCUCUGCCACUUUAUGUUUCUAAAAUUUAUUUUUUUUUAUUAAGGUAUAGUUAAAUAAAAAUAUUUAUUGUGUAAAGGGGAAUGUUUUGAUAUACGUAUACAUUGUGAAAUGGUUAAAUUAAACUAAGGUAUCUGUCACCUCAUACGCAUAUCAUAGUUUUGUGGUGAGAACAUUUAUGAUCUACUCUCUUGGCAAUUUUUUAAUAUUCUGCUGUCUGACUUCUAACCCAAGGCUUGGAUUAGGACAGUCUUUGUAGCUUAGUUUUAGGUUCAGGGAUCACAAAAGUUGUUUUAUCCUUUGGGCUUUUGCAACUUGCUAUUUUCUUAAUGAAGAUCUGGGGAAAAGAUUAGUUUAAGUGGUUUUUAAAGUAGCCAUUAGCUCAGGACAUAUUCAGCCAAGGCAGGAUAAGUAGUUUUGCCAGCAUUCUCCUGUAGAUAUUUUUUUCCACGGUCUUUUUAGAAAGAUAACUUUUAAAAACCUUUAUUUUCUGUGAUUAAUCUCUUUCCCUACUUUUCUAUAGAGGACCAGGAAUAUGUGUCAGUAAUUCUUGGGCCUGGGGCAGAUGAUCCAUGUGCUGGCAGACAGAUAUCCAAAGUGACAAAAGAGGUUGUCCUUUGAAAAUACUUUUCCUGGCUUAUGUUCUAUAUUUUUGUAUUUGAUUCAGUGAAAAUGUUUAUUGAGGACCUACUACAUACCACACACUCUGAUACAUUAUGAGGGGUUGGGGGACCUAUAUUAUAGUCCAUCUGGGAUACAGGAAGGAUGAAUAAAGAAUGCAAACAAUUAUAGUACAAAACAGAAUAAAAUCUGACAUGCAAUAAAUUUGAUAUCGAAUAGUAUAGAGGAAGAAAGCAUAUUUUAUUACUGGAGUUAGGAAAUGUAUUACAAAGUUGAUGGUAUCUUGAUGGGUCUUGAAGGAUAGAUAGAAUUUUGACAGGUGAGGAGGUAUUCCAAUGCAGAAGAAUAAUAGGAGCAAAAGCACAGAGGUGAGAAAUUGGAGGGGAACUGUGAAAAUUACCACAUAGAAUAGAGGCAGGGAAAUAAAGGGUGGCCAGAUUUAUAUAGUGAGCAGUGAGCUGUGUGGACACAGUUGACUGUUCACUCCUUCUUGAACCCCUGCUUACUCCAGAGUCACCACCUCUCCUGGCUUUUUGCCAAUCUUCCUGGCCACAGUUUCUCAGUCUUCUCUUCUGGCUCUCUUCGUUGGCCUGAAUGCUACAUGUUGAAUGAUGGUCAGCUUCAGUUUUUGUGUGCUCUCUUCUCUUAAGUUGCCAUCAUUUCAAUAUCUUUAAAUGUAAUCUACAUCUAGGUGACCUCCAAACCAGUAACCUUGCCCAUGACCCAUGUCCUGAACUACAGAUUGUCUAUAAAACCAUAUACUCAAUAUCUUCACUUUUUAUGUCUAAAUCUCUAUGUCUGAUUUAGAAUUCUUGAUUCUUUGUUUUUCCUCUGUGCUGGAAAUCCUGUUCUUACCAGUCUUUCCCCAUCUUAAUUAAUGAACUUGCCAUCCACCUAGUGGCUUAGUCCUCAAAACUAGAGGUUAAUCUAGAUUUAGUCAUUUUUCUUACUCUUGUCAUAUCAUUACAUAUUAUUUUGAGUUUACCUCUACCAGACCCCAAAUAGGUAACUGCUGUCUUUGUUAUGAUAGUAAUAUUUGCCUCUGAGUAUAUGUGAAUUAAUUUGAUAAAAAUAAAUAUUAUAUUUAAAAUAUUAA
This is a non-coding RNA of Callithrix jacchus (white-tufted-ear marmoset), 4064 nucleotides long. The record is from RefSeq and is a predicted model, not a curated record. NCBI's taxonomy places the organism in Eukaryota, Metazoa, Chordata, Mammalia, Primates, Cebidae.